Molecule: ribosomal RNA, 497 nt
Filed under: uncultured bacterium
Lineage: Bacteria
Description: partial 16S ribosomal RNA
Rfam family: Bacterial small subunit ribosomal RNA
Source: RNAcentral
GACGAACGCUGGCGGCGUGCCUAAUACAUGCAAGUAGAACGCUGAAGCGAGGAGCUUGCUCUUCUUGGAUGAGUUGCGAACGGGUGAGUAACGCGUAGGUAACCUGCCUUGUAGCGGGGGAUAACUAUUGGAAACGAUAGCUAAUACCGCAUAACAAUGGGUGACACAUGUCAUUUAUUUGAAAGGGGCAAUUGCUCCACUACAAGAUGGACCUGCGUUGUAUUAGCUAGUAGGUGAGGUAAUGGCUAACCUAGGCGACGAUACAUAGCCGACCUGAGAGGGUGAUCGGCCACACUGGGACUGAGACACGGCCCAGACUCCUACGGGAGGCAGCAGUAGGGAAUCGUCGGCAAUGGGGGCAACCCUGACCGAGCAACGCCGCGUGAGGGAAGAAGGAUUUCGGAUCGUAAAGCUCUGUUGUAAGUCAAGAACGGGUGUGAGAGUGGAAAGUUCACAGUGUGACGGUAGCUUACCAGAAAGGGACGGCUAACUACGUG